This is a non-coding RNA of Nomascus leucogenys (northern white-cheeked gibbon), 148 nucleotides long. It matches the Rfam family "Metazoan signal recognition particle RNA". Rfam says of the family: The signal recognition particle (SRP) is a universally conserved ribonucleoprotein. The record is from Rfam. NCBI's taxonomy places the organism in Eukaryota, Metazoa, Chordata, Mammalia, Primates, Hylobatidae.
GCUGGGUGUGGUGGCGUGUGCCUAUAAUCCCAGCUACUUGGGAGGCUGAGGCAGGAGAAUUGCUCGAAUCCGGGAGUUGGAGGUUGCAGUGAGCCGAGAUCAUGCCACUGCACUCCUGCCUGGGUGACAGAGUGAGACUCUGUCUCAA